Molecule: non-coding RNA, 32 nt
Filed under: Rattus norvegicus (Norway rat)
Lineage: Eukaryota; Metazoa; Chordata; Mammalia; Rodentia; Muridae
Source: RNAcentral
UACUACAAGAUUGAGGUGAAGAUUCUGGGAAA